RNAcentral lists this long non-coding RNA (1166 nucleotides) under Equus asinus (donkey). RNAcentral's name for it is "lncRNA (ENSEASG00005038496.1)". The record is from RNAcentral. Lineage: Eukaryota; Metazoa; Chordata; Mammalia; Perissodactyla; Equidae.
CCUUUGGACACAGUGGUUUGUGUAUCCCUUAUCAAUUAUGGUGACCACAAUGAGCAUUGAGACACGUUGUGAUUUCCCUGGAAUAGUCUUCAUAAGAAUGCAUCUGUAUUUCUAUUAAUUUCUGUAUUAAUAGAAAUCUUCAUAAGCUGGUUUGGCAGUUCUAUUUCCUGCUUUUCAGCCACUCUGUGUCUAGUCAUUGCUUAGAGUAACCAUUUGGCUAAGACAGAAGUCUCUAAUUUCUGUGAUGAUUCAAUCUGGUGACUCAAUAAUGCUUAGAGAAAACUGUAGCUGAAGAGCAUCUCACUGACCUCUCCUUUAGUUGACCGGGAUGGGAGUAGAAGGUGUGAAUCCCUUAUUUUUUUCACCCUUUAGAGAAUUUUGACCCAAAUGUAUAUGUUAGUUGUCUAUUGCUACAAAACAAAUUACCCCAGAACUGUGAGUCAGAAUUUAGGGAGCAGCUUAGCUGGUGGCUCUGGUUGGAGUCUCUCAUGAAUUGCGGUCAGGAUUUCAGCUGGCAUUCCGCUCUCUGAAGGCUUGAUUGGAGCUGGAGGAUCUACUUUAAGGUGCCUCACUCACCGCUGGCAAGUUGAACUGGUUAUUGGUGUGACGUUUCGGUUCCUCCCCAUGUGGGUCUCUCCACGGGACUGCUUGAGUGUCCUCACAACAUGGUAGCUGGAUUCACCCAAAAUGAGGGAUCCAAGAGACAAAGACGGAAGCAACAAUGCCUUUCAUCACUUAAGUCUCGGAAAUCAUGUACUGUAACCUGCAGGGUGCUCUAUUGGUCACAAAGACCACCCUGAGUCAAUGUGGGAGGAGAAUACAUACGAGCGUGAAUACCAGGAGACCAGCCCUGAGCCAACUGCUGCCAAUCCUCCUCUUUUUGCUGAGGAAGACUGGCCCUGAGCUAACAUCCAUGCCCAUCUUCCUCUAGUUGAUAUGUGGGACGCCUGCCACAGCAUGGCUUGCCAAGCGGUGCCAUGUCCGCACCUGGGAUCCGAACUGGUGAACCCAGGGCCACCGAAGCGGAAUGUGCACACCCAACCGCUGCGCCACUGGGCUGGCCCAAUGAUUUUCUUUAUUUAAAACAUUUUUUCAUUUUAAAAGAAAUUUUAGUCUAAUUUGUAUAAUCUCAUAAUCCUAACUUAGCAACUAUAAUUAUUUUUUAU